AUGCCGCGUGAGUGAUGAAGGCCUUCGGGUUGUAAAGCUCUUUUGUUCGGGAAGAUAAUGACGGUACCAAUAGAAUAGGCCCCGGCUAACUUCCUGCCAACAACCGCGGUAUUACUAAGGGGGCUAGCGUUGCUCGGAAUCACUGGGCGUAAAGGGUGCGUAAGCGGAUCUUUAAGUCAGGGGUGAAAUCCUGGAGCUCAACUCCAGAACUGCCUUUGAUACUGAACCUCUUGAGUGCGGGAGAGGUGAGUGGAAUUGCGUGUGUAAAGGUGAAAUUCAUAUAUAUUCGUAAGAACACCAGUGGCGAAGGCGGCUCACUGGCCCGAUACUGACGCUGAGGCCCGAAAGCGUGGGGAGCAAACAGGAUUAAAUACCCUGGUAGUCCACGCCGUAAACGAUGAAUGCUAGCCGUUAGUGAGUUUACUCACUAGUGGCGCAGCUAACGCUUUAAGCAUUCCGCCUGGGGAGUACGGUCGCAAGAUUAAAACUCAAAGGAAUUGAC
Molecule: ribosomal RNA, 502 nt
Filed under: uncultured Bradyrhizobiaceae bacterium
Lineage: Bacteria; Pseudomonadati; Pseudomonadota; Alphaproteobacteria; Hyphomicrobiales; Nitrobacteraceae
Description: bacterial SSU rRNA
Rfam family: Bacterial small subunit ribosomal RNA
Source: RNAcentral